AUGGAGCGAAAUUUAACGUCAUGGGUCACAAAAAAAGGUUUGAUCGGUGCCAAUGGUGUUGCUGCUAUGAGUAGUCUCUUGAGAGCUAAGUGUAUGGACUUUGAGACAAUAUUUUGCCAAAUGCUGCCUUCUGAAGGAGGGAUGCAGGUUAUCCAUUUUUGCAAGAAAGGUUAUUUCAUUGCUUAUGUCUUUAUGUGGUUGGGCUCUCUCAAGCAACAGGAAAUACACAUUUCGGCAGGAAAUCGCACAGCUUUCAGCAGUGAUGUCCAACAGGCUAUCAUUGAACCCAGCAAAAUAGGAUAG
Molecule: ribosomal RNA, 303 nt
Filed under: Triticum aestivum (bread wheat)
Lineage: Eukaryota; Viridiplantae; Streptophyta; Magnoliopsida; Poales; Poaceae
Description: partial small subunit ribosomal RNA
Source: RNAcentral